Perognathus longimembris pacificus (Pacific pocket mouse) is the source of this 133-nucleotide small nucleolar RNA. RefSeq annotates it as small nucleolar RNA SNORA42/SNORA80 family. NCBI's taxonomy places the organism in Eukaryota, Metazoa, Chordata, Mammalia, Rodentia, Heteromyidae. The transcript has a single exon. The record is from RefSeq and is a predicted model, not a curated record.
GAAUGGGUAGGAUUUAUGACAGGCUUGUCCCCCUGGGCCUUUCAUAGUGUCCCAUGCCAGAGCAAACUAUGAUUCCGAACCAUUGCCUGGCCUCUGCCUGUUGACUACUGGCACUAAAGCUGUUUUCCCAGAG